RNAcentral lists this ribosomal RNA (432 nucleotides) under uncultured bacterium. RNAcentral describes it as "partial 16S ribosomal RNA". It matches the Rfam family "Bacterial small subunit ribosomal RNA", at positions 29 to 507 of the family's 1533-position model. The record is from RNAcentral.
AACGAACGCUGGCGGCAUGCCUAACACAUGCAAGUCGAACGAGACCUUCGGGUCUAGUGGCGCACGGGUGCGUAACGCGUGGGAACCUGCCCUUAGGUUCGGAAUAACUCCCCGAAAGGGGUGCUAUACCGGAUAAUGUCUUCGGACCAAAGAUUUAUCGCCUUUGGAUGGGCCCGCGUUGGAUUAGCUAGUUGGUAGGGUAAAAGCCUACCAAGGCGACGAUCCAUAGCUGGUCUGAGAGGAUGAUCAGCCACACUGGGACUGAGACACGGCCCAGACUCCUACGGGAGGCAGCAGUGGGGAAUAUUGGACAAUGGGCGAAAGCCUGAUCCAGCAAUGCCGCGUGAGUGAUGAAGGCCUUAGGGUUGUAGAGCUCUUUUACCCGGGAUGAUAAUGACAGUACCGGGAGAAUAAGCUCCGGCUAACUCCGUG